This 119-nucleotide ribosomal RNA is filed under the name Pteropus alecto (black flying fox). The record is from RNAcentral. Lineage: Eukaryota; Metazoa; Chordata; Mammalia; Chiroptera; Pteropodidae.
GUCUACGGCCAUGCCACACUGAACGAGCCCAAUCCUAUCUGAUCUCCGAAACUAAGCAGGGUUGGGCCUGGUUAGUACUUGGAUGGGAGACCACCUAAGAAGACCAAGUGCUAUAAGUG